CCUACGGGUGGCAGCAGUGGGGAAUAUUGGACAAUGGGCGAAAGCCUGAUCCAGCCAUGCCGCGUGUGUGAAGAAGGCCUUCGGGUUGUAAAGCACUUUCAGUGGGGAAGAAAGCCUUGGGGCUAAUACCCUCGAGGAAGGACAUCACCCACAGAAGAAGCACCGGCUAACUCCGUGCCAGCAGCCGCGGUAAUACGGAGGGUGCGAGCGUUAAUCGGAAUUACUGGGCGUAAAGCGCGCGUAGGCGGUCUGAUAAGCCGGUUGUGAAAGCCCCGGGCUCAACCUGGGAACGGCAUCCGGAACUGUCAGGCUAGAGUGUAGGAGAGGGAGGUAGAAUUCCCGGUGUAGCGGUGAAAUGCGUAGAGAUCGGGAGGAAUACCAGUGGCGAAGGCGGCCUUCUGGACUGACACUGACGCUGAGGUGCGAAAGCGUGGGUAGCAAACAGGAUUAGAUACCCGAGUAGUC
Molecule: ribosomal RNA, 465 nt
Filed under: Vreelandella stevensii
Lineage: Bacteria; Pseudomonadati; Pseudomonadota; Gammaproteobacteria; Oceanospirillales; Halomonadaceae
Description: partial 16S ribosomal RNA
Rfam family: Bacterial small subunit ribosomal RNA
Source: RNAcentral